This 670-nucleotide ribosomal RNA is filed under the name Urothoe poseidonis. RNAcentral's name for it is "SSU rRNA". It matches the Rfam family "Eukaryotic small subunit ribosomal RNA", at positions 39 to 622 of the family's 1831-position model. The record is from RNAcentral. Lineage: Eukaryota; Metazoa; Arthropoda; Malacostraca; Amphipoda; Urothoidae.
AAAGAUUAAGCCAUGCAUGUCUAAGUCCAAGCUGUGCUUGUCACGGCGAGACCGCGGACGGCUCAUUAAAUCAGUCGUGGUCCAGAUGGGCCAGUUUUGAACCUACUUGGAUAACUGUGGUAAUUCCAGAGCUAAUACAUGCAACCCUUAUCCUGAUGGCGUCGCUCUCUCUUGCAGGGCAGCGAUCGUCCUGACGGAUGCUUUUAUUAGACCAAACCGCUGAGGGCAGUGCGUGUUCGCUUUGCGGGCCGCACCGCUUGACUCGUUUAAUGGUGACUCUGGAUAACCUUUUUGACAAGCGCACGUACCCACUCCUUUGGGCGGGACGGCGCUGCCACUUUCGAGUGUCUGCCUUAUCAGCUAUCAACCGUUCGUUAUGUGCGACCGAUGGCUUUGACGGGUAACGGGGAAUCAGGGUUCGAUUCCGGAGAGGCAGCCUGAGAAACGGCUACCACGUCCAAGGACGGCAGCAGGCACGCAAAUUACCCAAUCCCAGCAUCUGGGGGAGGUAGUGACGAAAUCUAACGAUGCGGGCGCCCUUUCUGGGGCCCCGCAAUCGGAAUGAGCGCUUUCUAAACAACCCGUUGAGAACCUACUGAAGGGCAAGUCUGGUGCCAGCAGCCGCGGUAAUUCCAGCUUCAGCAGCAUCUAUUAAAGUUGCUGCGGUUAA